This 370-nucleotide ribosomal RNA is filed under the name uncultured bacterium. RNAcentral describes it as "bacterial SSU rRNA". It matches the Rfam family "Bacterial small subunit ribosomal RNA", at positions 29 to 429 of the family's 1533-position model. The record is from RNAcentral.
AACGAACGCUGGCGGCAGGCUUAACACAUGCAAGUCGAACGCCCCGCAAGGGGAGUGGCGCACGGGUGAGUAACGCGUGGGAAUAUGCCCUUCGGUUCGGAAUAACACAGGGAAACUUGUGCUAAUACCGGAUACGAUCUACGGAUGAAAGAUUUAUCGCCGAGGGAGUAGCCCGCGUAGGAUUAGCUAGUUGGUGAGGUAAUGGCUCACCAAGGCGACGAUCCUUAGCUGGUCUGAGAGGAUGAUCAGCCACACUGGGACUGAGACACGGCCCAGACUCCUACGGGAGGCAGCAGUGGGGAAUAUUGGACAAUGGCGAAAGCCUGAUCCAGCCAUGCCGCGUGAGUGAUGAAGGCCUUAGGGUUGUAAG